UGGAUAAUGCCUUGAUGACCUGCCGGCAAGGAUAUCUAUAGCAGCUUAGAUUCGC
Molecule: ribosomal RNA, 55 nt
Filed under: Boletus edulis
Lineage: Eukaryota; Fungi; Basidiomycota; Agaricomycetes; Boletales; Boletaceae
Description: partial 18S ribosomal RNA
Source: RNAcentral